AAAGGAGGAGUCUUCCCACUCCAUUAAGUGGAGAUAGGUAGAAGGUGCCUUUUUCCUCUGAAAGAGAUGGUUUKCCUUCUGAUGACUUCUUUGAUAUUUUUGACACACUAAUGUCCUGUGAGAUUUAAACAAGCUUAGGAGAUGUGGAUAAUUGCGUUAAUUUUUGAGAAGUUGUUUAGCUCUUGUGGGAUAUUUAAGUGCUUUAAAGAAUAUCGGGAUGUGAUCGGGCUCUCUUGGGAAGUCAUGAGUUAUGUCAAAAUAAAUGACAACCAACUGGUCAAACAACCCACAGCUGGGACGAAGCUGCUGAGAAAGAGGAACUGAGGAUAGUAAUAGCKAUCAGCAGGACGAGCAGCAGGUACAUGACAAGAAACUUUUGGAUUUACAUUGGACACCAUUUCUGGAAUAUAUUUACCAACCGUAAUGGUAAAAAGUAUAGAAGGCUAUUUGAAAACUUACUGAAUGAAAGCGAAUAGAGUGAAAUUUGGAUAAAGAACUAUCUGUCUCCUUGGGGAAAUACAGGUACAGGAGCCCUUCCAUCUGUGUGUGGAUGUGCGAAAGCUAAUUGAAUUGGCAACCAUUGCUUUGUAAUUUCCAUUUGGAGGCCCUCUGUCUUAAGCUAGAAGACCUUCGUCCUUGGGUUCUUUUUUCACAAGCAGAAGGAAGGGAGAAGGCAGUAGAUGUGCUGAGGUGGAUCAGGAAGUCCAAAACAAAAUUCAUCUUCAGAAAAACAAUAAUUUGGGUCACCGAUGUCUCUUCAGAAAGGAUAAAAUUGCUCCCCAGAAGCUAGAUAUGUGGUUUCUGCCAGCUGCAGCAGGACGAGGCUUUUGGU
Nothoprocta perdicaria is the source of this 832-nucleotide long non-coding RNA. RefSeq lists it as uncharacterized. The record is from RefSeq and is a predicted model, not a curated record. The transcript has 4 exons. Lineage: Eukaryota; Metazoa; Chordata; Aves; Tinamiformes; Tinamidae.